GACAGAGGGUGCAAACGUUGUUCGGAAUUACUGGGCGUAAAGCGCGUGUAGGCGGCUAUGCAAGUCGGAUGUGAAAGCCCUCGGCUCAACCGGGGAAGUGCACCCGAAACUGCAAAGCUAGAGUCUCGGAGAGGAUCGUGGAAUUCUCGGUGUAGAGGUGAAAUUCGUAGAUAUCGAGAGGAACACCGGUGGCGAAGGCGGCGAUCUGGAUCACUACUGACGCUGAAGAACGAAAGCUAGGGGAGCAAACAGG
Molecule: ribosomal RNA, 253 nt
Filed under: uncultured prokaryote
Description: partial 16S ribosomal RNA
Rfam family: Bacterial small subunit ribosomal RNA
Source: RNAcentral